UACGUAGGGCGCAAGCGUUGUCCGGAAUUAUUGGGCGUAAAGAGCUCGUAGGCGGCUUGUCACGUCGGGUGUGAAAGCCCGGGGCUUAACCCCGGGUCUGCAUUCGAUACGGGCUAGCUAGAGUGUGGUAGGGGAGAUCGGAAUUCCUGGUGUAGCGGUGAAAUGCGCAGAUAUCAGGAGGAACACCAAUGGCGAAGGCAGAUCUCUGGGCCGUAACUGACGCUGAGGAGCGAAAGCAUGGGGAGCGAACAGG
This 253-nucleotide ribosomal RNA is filed under the name uncultured bacterium. RNAcentral describes it as "partial 16S ribosomal RNA". It matches the Rfam family "Bacterial small subunit ribosomal RNA", at positions 524 to 776 of the family's 1533-position model. The record is from RNAcentral.